UACUCAAAGUACUUCAUACAAUAUAGUAAAACUAAUUAAUUUAUUUGGGUUUUACAGCACACCAACACAGUAUAGGUUAAAAAAACCAAUUCAAUUCAAAUCUGAAAGCUAUCUCAUGUUUCUUAGUCAAUCCUCAGGCCUGUUUACAUGGAGAGGUGGCAAAUACCUUAAAUGGUUCGAUCCUCAUGCCAAGUAGGACAGGAGAGGUGGUACAAAUGCAUGUAGAUACCAAGACUUGCAGGAUGUAAAUACCUAAGUUUGUCAUACGUAGUAAAAACCAGUUCAAAUCUCGUGUUUCUUUGUCAAUCCUCAGGCCUGUUUACAUGGAGAGGUGGCGAAUACCUUAAAUGUUACGAUCCUCGUGCCAAGUAGGAUAGAUUAGGAGAGGUGGUACAAAUGCAUGUAGAUACCAAGACUUGCAUGAUGUAAAUAUUUAAUCCCAAUAUUAUUGCACAUUCGGUAGCAAAGAUGUUGACACCACAUGUCGUCUGAUGAUGACUUUUACAGAUCGAAUAAGGUUUGGUCAUUGUAUUCCCUGAAAGGAAUGAGAGGAGAAAAGAAACUGGAAGACCUGGCUAUCUGCAAGCCAAUGCUGGCUGCAGGUCAAUAUUGAAUGCUCUUAUGAAAACUCAUAAGACAAUAACAAAAAAAAGAAGCUGAGGAUGCUGUUUUUAAAACAUGCUCCAUUCAAAAAAGGUGGAUUGAAAUUUAAGAAAGGUGUGACGGGUGCGUCUGCUGCAGGCAGGGGGGAUUUGACGGUCAGCCAGAGGAUUUGGAGAUAUACUGUAAUGUCUUUAAU
Mercenaria mercenaria is the source of this 799-nucleotide long non-coding RNA. RefSeq lists it as uncharacterized. The record is from RefSeq and is a predicted model, not a curated record. NCBI's taxonomy places the organism in Eukaryota, Metazoa, Mollusca, Bivalvia, Venerida, Veneridae. The transcript has 4 exons.